Molecule: ribosomal RNA, 429 nt
Filed under: Actinomycetes bacterium
Lineage: Bacteria; Bacillati; Actinomycetota; Actinomycetes
Description: Actinobacteria bacterium partial 16S ribosomal RNA
Rfam family: Bacterial small subunit ribosomal RNA
Source: RNAcentral
UGGGGAAUAUUGGACAAUGGGGGAAACCCUGAUCCAGCCAUGCCGCGUGUGUGAAGAAGGCCUUUUGGUUGUAAAGCACUUUAAGCAGUGAAGAAGACUCUUCGGUUAAUACCCGGAGACGAUGACAUUAGCUGCAGAAUAAGCACCGGCUAACUCUGUGCCAGCAGCCGCGGUAAUACAGAGGGUGCAAGCGUUAAUCGGAAUUACUGGGCGUAAAGCGAGCGUAGGUGGCUUGAUAAGUCAGAUGUGAAAUCCCCGGGCUUAACCUGGGAACUGCAUCUGAAACUGUUAGGCUAGAGUAGGUGAGAGGGAAGUAGAAUUUCAGGUGUAGCGGUGAAAUGCGUAGAGAUCUGAAGGAAUACCGAUGGCGAAGGCAGCUUCCUGGCAUCAUACUGACACUGAGGCUCGAAAGCGUGGGUAGCAAACAGG